AGGCACCACACUCAUAAACACCAGAGAGGCUCCGUCCCCACAGAAUCUGUGAGGAACGCUGUGGACACACUCUGCUAGCAGGCUCUUUCACAACUGAACAUGUCCCAUCACCAUCACCACCACCACAACCAUCAUGGCCACAAUAUGGGUUUCCAGCCAGGAGGCUAUGUGGCACCCGGAGCCUACGUCUCUCCCGGAGCCUACGUCUCUCCUGGGGCCUACGUGUCUCCCGGGGCCUACGUCUCUCCCGGAGCCUACGUCUCACCUGGAAUAGGAGUGGUUCCACCAGGGGGUGUCGUACUACCAGCUUGCCCUCCUGCCCCAUACCAACCAGGCGGUUAUGAAACCUUUGGCACUGCAUGGAAUUAUGAAAACCAUCACGGUCAUCAUCACCAUCAUGGUCAUCAUCACCAUCACUGAUCGACUGAACCUCUUAUUCAUAGUGAUUUAUAGGGCUGCUACCAUAUUAUGAUAAUGAUAUUGCAGUUAUUAACAGCUAAACAUUAUUAUUGAUAUUUUGGACUUUCUCUGCUGGCCUCAGGAGGUUGGGCUCUCCCUUGGAGUUUGGUUCCUCCUAAGAUCUCUUCCUACUGGGGAGUUUUUCUCUGCAACUAUCGCCUCUGACCUGCUAUCUUGGGGCUUUUGGGGUAUGUAAACCACUUUGAGACAUAGUGUCACAAUGCUGUGUAUAAAAAUAAAUUGAAUUUAAUUAAUUGUAAUAUCUGGGGUUCAGUUGUGAAGAUGAAAAUGUGUUAUACCAACUUUAUCUGCUUAAUGUGUCCUCGUCAAACAAAAGGAGUAGCUUUAUACAGCUUGAUCUAUUCUUAAAUGUUUUAUUGUUUGACAGCAGAAAGAAUUUGAAAGAAACAUGAAACUGAAUUCACAGACCUUUUAUUCAAUUAUUGAAAGUAUGAAAUAAAAUAUUACCUCUUAUACAGA
Molecule: long non-coding RNA, 939 nt
Organism: Paramormyrops kingsleyae
Lineage: Eukaryota; Metazoa; Chordata; Actinopteri; Osteoglossiformes; Mormyridae
Source: RefSeq, a predicted model, not a curated record